This 515-nucleotide ribosomal RNA is filed under the name uncultured bacterium. RNAcentral describes it as "partial 16S ribosomal RNA". It matches the Rfam family "Bacterial small subunit ribosomal RNA", at positions 28 to 523 of the family's 1533-position model. The record is from RNAcentral.
GAUGAACGCUGGCGGCGUGCCUAAUACAUGCAAGUCGAGCGAAUGGAUUAAGAGCUUGCUCCUAUGAAGUUAGCGGCGGACGGGUGAGUAACACGUGGGUAACCUGCCCAUAAGACUGGGAUAACUCCGGGAAACCGGGGCUAAUACCGGAUAACAUUUUGAACCGCAUGGUUCGAAAUUGAAAGGCGGCUUCGGCUGUCACUUAUGGAUGGACCCGCGUCGCAUUAGCUAGUUGGUGAGGUAACGGCUCACCAAGGCAACGAUGCGUAGCCGAGCUGUGAGGGUGAUCUGCCACACUGGGACUGAGACACGGCCCAGACUCCUACGGGAGGCAGGAGUAGGGAAUCUUCCGCAAUGGACGAAAGUCUGACGGAGCAACGUCGCGUGAGUGAUGAAGGCUUUCGGGUCGUAAAACUCUGUUGUUAGGGAAGAACAAGUGCUAGUUGAAUAAGCUGGCACCUUGACGGUACCUAACCAGAAAGCCACGGCUAACUACGUGCCAGCCGCCGCAGUAA